UGGCAAGAAUAAGGCAGUGGGUUGGCCACAUCCUAUCCUGCAAGAUGGUAGAAUGUACUGAGUCAGAGACAGAUGUCCCCUUACCCCCAAAGAACACGCUUACCACAUCUACAAUGAGACUGUGUUCUCCUUUGCCUCUCCUUUACUGUCGCCCUUGAUCUUGGGCCCAACUCUUCUCCCAUCAUGGAGAAUCACGGAGAAUCCCUGGAAGGAGUGACAUCCUCAAGCUGGGUGUUGCUCAGCUUCUGGCUCAAGGAUGCUGCUGCUUCUUCUUACCUGGCAGUCUUUGCUCUGGAAGGAGACUGGGACCUGGGUGAACUUCACCCAGGAUUUUUCAUAAAAGGAUUCUUGUCCCAAGUUUCCUUCUUCUAGACCACAGGGAGUCUUUUACCUGGCCUGUUAAACCCUCAGAGUUCCAUCUCUCACUAGUUUCUUUCAUCUUCAGCCCCUGGCAGGGCCUUCUAUAGAUGUGACACAGGUCUUAUGGUUCUGAGAAGCUAUAGAACCCUACUAUCCAGUAAAGUGACAGGAUCCAAAGGUCUGCAGGUUACCCAGGCAACCUGAAGAUACACAGAUCCAUGAUUAGUAUCAUCUGACUGGCCUUCCCAGAUACUACUGGAGCCAGGGGUGGGAGUCUGAAGAGGCUUCUGUAGGAGACACCACUGCUCUGAGUUUGAGGAUCAGUGCCUCUAAUCCGAAAUAGAUCUCCUUAUCAAGCUGCCUCAUCGCAGUACAAGCUCUUCCCAACUCGAGGAGCCGGCGCGCAGACUCAGUCACGACUUUGAGGCUUGGCGGCCACCAGGCACCCUUUCAGAGAACAGGAUUCUGGGGUUUCAGAAGUUCAGUGAGAGGAUAAACUGACGAAACCGCACAAUUGGAAAAUUGCCACUCAACCACAUGAUAGCA
RNAcentral lists this long non-coding RNA (906 nucleotides) under Heterocephalus glaber (naked mole-rat). RNAcentral's name for it is "lncRNA (ENSHGLG00100044334.1)". Lineage: Eukaryota; Metazoa; Chordata; Mammalia; Rodentia; Bathyergidae. The record is from RNAcentral.